Molecule: ribosomal RNA, 253 nt
Filed under: uncultured bacterium
Lineage: Bacteria
Description: partial 16S ribosomal RNA
Rfam family: Bacterial small subunit ribosomal RNA
Source: RNAcentral
UACGGGGGGGGCAAGCGUUGUUCGGAAUUACUGGGCGUAAAGGGCUCGUAGGCGGCCAACUAAGUCGGACGUGAAAUCCCCAGGCUCAACCUGGGAACUGCGUCCGAUACUGGAUGGCUUGAAUCCGGGAGAGGGAUGCAGAAUUCCAGGUGUAGCGGUGAAAUGCGUAGAUAUCGUUUGGAACGCCAAUGGUGAAAACAGGUUGCUGGGAGUGUGCUGACGCUGAGACACGAAAGCCAGGGGAGCGAACGGG